AGAUUUCAAGUAUGUUAGCAGCAGUAAUUAGGGAUGUUUUCCUCUAAGGAAAAUUAAAGUUAUAAAAUUAUUAUUUGUUAAAAAUGAUUCCUGCUACUUCAAAUUUAUCCUUAAAUGUAGAGGAUUAACAAUGAACAACUUGAAGUAACUUGGUUGUCACCUCAGAAGUUUAGUUUAUCACCGAUUUAAUGAAGAUGGGCAAGAAGAGGAAGGCUUUAUGAUAAUGAAGUCUCGCUCGAUUGCCCAGGAUGGAGUGUAGUGGCACAAUCUCCACUCACUGCAACCUCUGCCGCCAGGGUUCAAGCAAUUCUCCUGCCUCAGCCUCCCAAGUAGCUGGGCUUACAGAUGCCACUUCAAAUGAACAACAAGAGCUUUUCUGUCAGAAGUUGCAGCAGUGUUGUAUACUGUUUGAUUUCAUGGACUCUGUUUCAGACUUGAAGAGCAAAGAAAUUAAAAGAGCAACACUGAAUGAACUGGUUGAGUAUGUUUCAACUAAUCGUGGUGUAAUUGUUGAAUCAGCGUAUUCUGAUAUAGUAAAAAUGAUCAGUGCUAACAUCUUCCGUACACUUCCUCCAAGUGAUAAUCCAGAUUUUGAUCCAGAAGAGGAUGAACCCACGCUUGAGGCCUCUUGGCCUCACAUACAGUUGGUAUAUGAAUUCUUCUUGAGAUUUUUGGAGAGCCCUGAUUUCCAGCCUAGCAUUGCAAAGCGAUACAUUGAUCAGAAAUUCGUACAACAG
Molecule: small RNA, 737 nt
Filed under: Pongo abelii (Sumatran orangutan)
Lineage: Eukaryota; Metazoa; Chordata; Mammalia; Primates; Hominidae
Description: processed transcript
Source: RNAcentral